Long non-coding RNA from Papaver somniferum (opium poppy), 247 nucleotides. RefSeq lists it as uncharacterized. Lineage: Eukaryota; Viridiplantae; Streptophyta; Magnoliopsida; Ranunculales; Papaveraceae. The record is from RefSeq and is a predicted model, not a curated record. The transcript has 4 exons.
GUAUCUCUCUUUUCACUACUUUCAAGAGUACUACCAAUCGCCCUGGGAUUCACUCCGGUGAAGAGUCGACCAAAGAUGAGAAAAAUGCUAUUGAAAAAUCGCCACAAUAAUAGGGAUUUUCCGGUGUAGAAUGAUUGCUCUCACAGGAUUUAUUGGUGGAGACCGCGACAGAGCAGGAUGGCUCAGUCAGUAAUAUCACCGUGCAGCCCACAGUUUUUCAGGCAUUGACACUAGCAGUACGUAAAGA